UGUCUGUUCACGUCGUGUUAAUCAGGCUGUCGACACACCUCGGUUUAAUAUAGCUGGAAUUAAACACAUACAAUUGUUGGAUAAGCACAGAGAGAUUCAUUUGACAUACUUAAUGUUUAUCUUAAGCAAACAUGAGGUGACGUAAUACGGCUCACACAGUUGGUCGCCUCACAGACAGUCAAAGCAGCAGCUGUGGACAGGUGAUGCAAUUAGCCUUAAUUUAGUUCAGAAUUCCACUGUUGUCUUCAAACAGCGAUGACUUUUUGUCAUCUGAUGCGGUUUUACCGGGAUGAUCCAACCAAAUGUUGUUCAAACUCCCUUUAAUCCCACAAAAUCUGUGUCGCACAUCUUCAUCCGUCCCUUCUCCGAGAUCGCAGCGAGACCCAGCUCUGUCUUCCUCCACUCCCGCUCCUGUUCUGCCAGGCUCAGAUGAGCUGGCAUCUUACAAUUGCCUAGUGUGAGCACAUCCUGAUUAUUCUCCCGCAUACACGAGUCUCUACCUGGCCAUCAAGUGUCGUCCCGCGUCACACUCUGCUGCGAUGGGUUCCGUCAUCGUGCUGGUCUCUCAGAAGGAUACAAGAGCGGAGGAGAAACUGCCUAAGGACUGCAUCUGAAUGCUUCAAACAAGAGUUCACUGACAGAAGGAGGUCAUUGAAUUAUCAUCUGUACAGGUCCCACAAUCAUGGCACCAAUCGGCACAGAUCUCGUAGGCUGGGCGGUCACAGAGCAACCAGAGGCUGCAUUCCUUUCCGUAGUCGUCCUGUUCAUCGUUAGCAUCGCACUCCUCGUUCUCUGUGCAAGCUGUAAAAAACAUUCAUUUGAGUUGGACAGCCACAGUGUACCUGAGCAGCAGAAAUCAUCCACACUUGUGAGCGUGGCAAAAAUGAAUGAUUCAAGAGGCGCCAGACAAAACCCUGCUGAUAAUGACAUCACAGAAGAUGAAAUCGGUUUAGAGGCUGUGGAGGGUGGCAGUGAGUACAGACCCUGGAGAAGUCACACUCUCACUCACGGAUCAAGCCUACAACCUCAAAUAAAUGGCGGGAUUGGGACAACGACUGCGGGAUCGGUAACACUGCAAACUCUCUGAGAAAGUGUGGACAAAAGCCUGCAGAGAACUCCACCAUCUUUAUUAUGCAACCUGAAAUGCUCAAACUAAACAAUCCUCUACACUAUUUGGAGAUAAAGGGUUUCUGUGUCCUUCUGAAACUAGGCUGAGGUCCUGCUUUGUGGCAUUGACUCCCAUAAGUCCCCAUCAAACUUUGAGACUAUAGGAACUAUAGGAGCCCCCGAUCUGUCCCUCAGCAUUGACUGAAUUGAGUCAAAGCUGAAUCUUUAUGCAAUGGUUCAGACAAGAAUGGUCAGUGUCCCUUAGAGGAGGAAGCCUGAUCUUCUGGCCACACCUGUUCUGACAAAUAGGGAUCCCUAUUCAGGUGGUCACAGAUAAAUGCAACAUAAACAAGAAAAUCAGGUGUCAUCUCCAUCUGAAGAGGAGGGGGAAGUUUCUGCAUCAUUACCAAAGAGACCUAAACAAAAAUGAAGAUUUUCCUUUUAAUCUUUUUCUAAUGAAGUCCAGUAUUGUGAAAUUAUUCUGUAUUCAUAUUCAUUCUUCGUAAGGGUGCAAUAUAGACUUUCUCUCUCAUAUCAACUGGUUUGUUUAUGUUUAUGGAUUUGUAUAGCAGCAUACUAGUAAAUACUUUGAGGUUUUGAACAAAUGUAUGAAUUCAAGUGGGCAUGAAUGAUGUAAUUAAAGUAACAGAUGCUUUAGAAUUAA
RNA transcript from Carassius gibelio (silver crucian carp), 1771 nucleotides. RefSeq lists it as uncharacterized. The record is from RefSeq and is a predicted model, not a curated record. Lineage: Eukaryota; Metazoa; Chordata; Actinopteri; Cypriniformes; Cyprinidae. The transcript is spliced from 10 exons.